Molecule: ribosomal RNA, 301 nt
Filed under: uncultured bacterium
Lineage: Bacteria
Description: partial 16S ribosomal RNA
Rfam family: Bacterial small subunit ribosomal RNA
Source: RNAcentral
CAGUCGCCACGGUAAUACGAAGGGGGCUAGCGUUGUUCGGAUUUACUGGGCGUAAAGGGUGCGUAGGCGGAUUGUUAAGUCAGGGGUGAAAUGCCGGGGCUCAACCUCGGAACUGCCUUUGAUACUGGCGAUCUUGGGUCCGGGAGAGGUGAGUGGAACUGCGAGUGUAGAGGUGAAAUUCGUAGAUAUUCGCAAGAACACCAGUGGCGAAGGCGGCUCACUGGCCCGGAACUGACGCUGAGGCACGACAGCGUGGGGAGCAAACAGGAUUAGAUACCCGUGUAGUCCCUGUCUCUUAUAU